RNAcentral lists this ribosomal RNA (253 nucleotides) under uncultured bacterium. RNAcentral describes it as "partial 16S ribosomal RNA". It matches the Rfam family "Bacterial small subunit ribosomal RNA", at positions 524 to 776 of the family's 1533-position model. The record is from RNAcentral.
UACGGAGGGGGCGAGCGUUAUUCGGAAUUAUUGGGCGUAAAGGGUGCGUAGGCGGCGCGGAAAGUAGGGUGUGAAAUCCCUCGGCUUAACCGAGGAACUGCGCCCUAAACUACCGUGCUUGAGGGAGAUAGAGGUGAGCGGAACUUAGGGUGGAGCGGUGAAAUGCGUUGAUAUCCUAAGGAACACCGGUGGCGAAAGCGGCUCACUGGAUCUCUUCUGACGCUGAGGCACGAAAGCUAGGGUAGCGAACGGG